This 89-nucleotide microRNA precursor is filed under the name Fragaria vesca subsp. vesca. RNAcentral's name for it is "Fragaria vesca miR156j stem-loop (fve-MIR156j)". Its record names the gene fve-MIR156j. Lineage: Eukaryota; Viridiplantae; Streptophyta; Magnoliopsida; Rosales; Rosaceae. The record is from miRBase by way of RNAcentral.
UGUUGACGGAAGAGAGCGAGCACAACCCGGCAUUGGUGAAAGAGAGCUUUGCCACUGUUGGGAGUGUACUCGUUCUUCUUCCGUCAGCG